AGAUGACAAGGACAAGCUUGCUCAGCACAAGGCUGCAGAUUUAAUGUGCAGGCAAAGAAGACUCUCUCAAGUUGCCAGAAGCUCAGCAACAGCACUGAGGAAACAAGAUUGUCAUUUGUUUUUAAACUCUGGAUGGACUGCCUUCCAUGUGCGCUUUGAAUAACUAAAUACAGUUUCCCUGGAAGCUGGGCUUGACUGGAGUCUUCAGAUAAAGGUGUUUUGCACAAUUUCUGAGUGCUCUGCCCAAAACCAUUCUCCCCUUCUCCAUUGUUUGCUGUAGCAACUAGGGGAACCAAGAAGAUAUCAUAACCACACUGAUGAAGAGGAAUACCUGAGACAUCAUUCAAGUCAGGUACUAUCCAACAGUGACAUGUGCCUUUCUUCUGAAGUGCGCACACAUGGGAUGAACAGCCUGUGAUUUGAAUUACACUCCUGCAGUUAGAAAUCCUUAGGACUACCACUGGAGUAUUUUCAUGGAUUGAAUUAUCCGAGCCCCAGAAAGUUUAUUAGCUCAGAGCAAAGGUAAGUCCUGAGAGAUGGUAGAAGAGGAGAUGAUAGAAUCAGGUCUGGAAGGUAGCCCUCAGGGACAGAGACAAAAGCCUCUCAUCAAAGGCCUGGAUGCAGCAAGACACUGAUUACUGUCAGUUUUCUGAAAACUAUGAGGUUUAGAGGCUGCAGAUCAAAACUUGGAAGAAAAAAGUGGAGCUGUUGGUACCUCAACAAGCCUGCUGUGUUUUAAUCCUUAAAUAUGUUCUUAUAUUUGGUGAGUUGCUCAUUUGUUUCAAAUUUUAUCCUAUUUACUUUUAGAUUUCAUAUGGCAGAUAUGAAAU
Molecule: long non-coding RNA, 830 nt
Organism: Gallus gallus (chicken)
Lineage: Eukaryota; Metazoa; Chordata; Aves; Galliformes; Phasianidae
Exons: 3
Source: RefSeq, a predicted model, not a curated record